This 87-nucleotide transfer RNA is filed under the name bacterium. RNAcentral describes it as "tRNA-Leu". It matches the Rfam family "tRNA". From Rfam's summary of the family: Transfer RNA (tRNA) molecules are approximately 80 nucleotides in length. Their secondary structure includes four short double-helical elements and three loops (D, anti-codon, and T loops). Further hydrogen bonds mediate the characteristic L-shaped molecular structure. tRNAs have two regions of fundamental functional importance: the anti-codon, which is responsible for specific mRNA codon recognition, and the 3' end, to which the tRNAs corresponding amino acid is attached (by aminoacyl-tRNA synthetases). tRNAs cope with the degeneracy of the genetic code in two manners: having more than one tRNA (with a specific anti-codon) for a particular amino acid; and 'wobble' base-pairing, i.e. permitting non-standard base-pairing at the 3rd anti-codon position. The record is from RNAcentral. RNAcentral also lists the same sequence under 4 other names.
GCCGGAGUGGCGAAAUUGGUAUACGCACCAGACUCAAAAUCUGGCGAGGUCAAACUCAUGUCGGUUCGAGUCCGACCUCCGGCACCA